This 120-nucleotide ribosomal RNA is filed under the name Escherichia coli. RNAcentral's name for it is "partial 23S ribosomal RNA". It matches the Rfam family "Bacterial large subunit ribosomal RNA", at positions 2811 to 2925 of the family's 2925-position model. The record is from RNAcentral. Lineage: Bacteria; Pseudomonadati; Pseudomonadota; Gammaproteobacteria; Enterobacterales; Enterobacteriaceae.
CUCCCUGACUCCUUGAGAGUCCUGAAGGAACGUUGAAGACGACGACGUUGAUAGGCCGGGUGUGUAAGCGCAGCGAUGCGUUGAGCUAACCGGUACUAAUGAACCGUGAGGCUUAACCUU